This 588-nucleotide ribosomal RNA is filed under the name uncultured bacterium. Its description in RNAcentral is "bacterial SSU rRNA". It matches the Rfam family "Bacterial small subunit ribosomal RNA", at positions 338 to 916 of the family's 1533-position model. The record is from RNAcentral.
CCUACGGGAGGCAGCAGUGGGGAAUAUUGGGCAAUGGGCGAAAGCCUGACCCAGCCACGCCGCGUGAGUGAUGAAGGCCUUCGGGUCGUAAAGCUCUGUGGGGAGGGACGAACAAGCCGCGUACUAACACUACGUGGACCUGACGGUACCUCCUUAGCAAGCACCGGCUAACCCUGUGCCAGCAGCCGCGGUAAUACAGGGGGUGCAAACGUUGCUCGGAAUUAUUGGGCGUAAGGCGCGCGUAGGCGGUUACUUAAGUCGGAUGUGAAAGCCCUCGGCUCAACUGAGGAAGUGCACCCGAAACUGAGUAGCUUGAGUACUAAAGAGGGUCGCGGAAUUCCCGGUGUAGAGGUGGAAUUCGUAGAUAUCGGGAGGAACACCGGUGGCGAAGGCGGCGACCUGGGUAGAUACUGACGCUGAGGCGCGAAAGCGUGGGGAGCAAACUGGAUUAGAUACCCUGGUAGUCCACGCCGUAAACGAUGGGUGCUAGAUGUUUCUGGUAUUGACCCCGGAGGCGUCGUAGCUAACGCGUUAAGCACCCCGCCUGGGGAGUACGGCCGCAAGGCUAAAACUCAAAGGAAUUGACGG